Talpa occidentalis (Iberian mole) is the source of this 107-nucleotide small nuclear RNA. NCBI's taxonomy places the organism in Eukaryota, Metazoa, Chordata, Mammalia, Eulipotyphla, Talpidae. The record is from RefSeq and is a predicted model, not a curated record.
GUGCUUACUUCAGCAACACAGAAAGUAAGACUGGAGGGAUAAAGAGAAGAUGAGCAUGGCCUCUGCACAAGGAUGACGUGUAAAUCUAUGAUGCUUUCUGCAUUUUC